CUUCUUCCUCCCACCAACCAACAACUAUCACCACCAGAUGACCACCACGGAUCAGCUCAACUCCAAAUAAUGAAACAAUAAACAGUGAACUCAAGGAAAUGCUUGUAAGUGUAAGAACAACGAAGAAGGGGGUGUAUAUGUUAAGGUUUAUAGUAUCAGGAUUGUUGGUAGUUAAGGGGUGUUAGUGGUUAAGAAAUCAUUAAUAAAUCAUUAAUAUGGUUUGACUUUUAUUAAAUGAAGGAGAAAAAUGUAAUUUUGGAGGUGUAGAGGGAAAGGGAUGAGGUUCAGGGAGAAGCACUCUGCAAUUUUUCCUUGAAACUACACCACUGAACAAAAAAAUAUGUGUAUUUUGAAAUACGGUUGUCUGUCCCACAGAAUAAAUUACAAAAGUUAACACAAAUUAUUAAAAAUAUU
RNAcentral lists this long non-coding RNA (414 nucleotides) under Vigna radiata. RNAcentral's name for it is "long non-coding RNA (VRAD_LNC016067)". Lineage: Eukaryota; Viridiplantae; Streptophyta; Magnoliopsida; Fabales; Fabaceae. The record is from RNAcentral.